GACGAACGCUGGCGGCGUGCUUAACACAUGCAAGUCGAACGGAAAGGCCCUGCUUGUGUGGUGUGCUCGAGUGGCGAACGUGUGUGUAACACGUGAGUACCCUGCCCUUGACUUUGGGAUAACUUCAGGAAACUGUGGCUAAUCCCGGAUAGGCGCUCCUGCUUCAUGUUGGGGGUAGGAAAGUUUGGUCGGGUGGGGGUGGACUCGCGGCUUAUCAGCUGGUUGGUGGGGUACUGGCUUACCAAGGCUUGGACGGCUGGCCGGCCUGGGAGGGUGACCGGCAACAUUGGGAUUGGGAUCCGGCCCGGACCCCAACGGGGGGAAGCAGUGGGGAAUAUGGCACAAUGGGCGGAGGCCGGAGCCAGGAAGGCCGGGGGCGGGAUAACGGUCUUCGGGUGGUAAACCGCUUCCGUAGGGGACGAACCGUGAGUGACGGUAAUGGGUAAAGAAGCACCGGCUAACUACGUG
Molecule: ribosomal RNA, 468 nt
Filed under: uncultured bacterium
Lineage: Bacteria
Description: partial 16S ribosomal RNA
Rfam family: Bacterial small subunit ribosomal RNA
Source: RNAcentral